This 885-nucleotide ribosomal RNA is filed under the name uncultured marine group I thaumarchaeote. Its description in RNAcentral is "SSU rRNA". It matches the Rfam family "Archaeal small subunit ribosomal RNA", at positions 15 to 905 of the family's 1478-position model. The record is from RNAcentral. Lineage: Archaea; Thermoproteati; Nitrososphaerota.
UGCCGGACCUGACUGCUAUCGGAUUGAUACUAAGCCAUGCGAGUCAUUGUAGCAAUACAAGGCAGACGGCUCAGUAACGCGUAGUCAACCUACCCUAUGGACGGGAAUAACCUCGGGAAACUGAGUAUAAUGCCCGAUAGAACAUUAUGCCUGGAAUGGUUUAUGUUCCAAAUGAUUUAUCGCCAUAGGAUGGGACUGCGGCCUAUCAGCUUGUUGGUGAGGUAAUGGCCCACCAAGGCGAUUACAGGUACGGGCUCUGAGAGGAGAAGCCCGGAGAUGGGUACUGAGACACGGACCCAGGCCCUAUGGGGCGCAGCAGGCGAGAAAACUUUGCAAUGUGCGAAAGCACGACAAGGUUAAUCCGAGUGGUUUCUGCUAAAGGAACCUUUUGUUAGUCCUAAAAACACUAACGAAUAAGGGGUGGGCAAGUUCUGGUGUCAGCCGCCGCGGUAAAACCAGCACCUCAAGUGGUCAGGAUGAUUAUUGGGCCUAAAGCAUCCGUAGCCGGCUUUGUAAGUUUUCGGUUAAAUCCAUGUGCUCAACGCAUGGGCUGCCGAAAAUACUGUAUAGCUAGGGAGUGGGAGAGGUAGACGGUACUCAGUAGGUAGGGGUAAAAUCCUUUGAUCUAUUGAUGACCACCUGUGGCGAAGGCGGUCUACCAGAACACGUUCGACGGUGAGGGAUGAAAGCUGGGGGAGCAAACCGGAUUAGAUACCCGGGUAGUCCCAGCUGUAAACGAUGCAGACUCGAUGAUGCAUUGGCAUAAUAGCCAGUGCAGUGUCGCAGGGAAGCCGUUAAGUCUGCCGCCUGGGAAGUACGUACGCAAGUAUGAAACUUAAAGGAAUUGGCGGGGGAGCACCACAAGGGGUGAAGCCUGCGGUCAAU